AUGGAAGGUGGCCGGCUCAUCCACUCUUUUCCGACCCUUUUCACCUUCUCCACAUCAAAGCUUUGCACUAUCGCCUCCCAGUACUCCAAUGGUCACUGGAUGAUGCAACUACACCCCAAUCUCUCCCACACGACGCUGCAAGAGCUGGAGGCACUCAACGGCCUGCUAAGCAAUAUCUCACUGAAUGCUGAUAGAUCAGACACCAAACGGCCAGUGGCUUUUGACAACAAGAUAUCAACGACAUACUUUUAUAAGCUGCUCACCUUCAGAGGGAUGGACUGCCCAUCGGCUCCCUUCGUCUGGGACAGAAUCAUACCCAAACGACACCGCGUCUUCCUUUGGAUAGCCCUCAGAGACAGGCACAAUGCGAGAGACAACAUGCCGAGGAAGCAAUGGACAAGGGUUGUCAAACACAAUGGAUGUGAUCUAUGCCCAGCAGCUGAGACCAUGCAUCAUAUCCUACUCAGAUGCAAGCUUGCCCAAGUCGUGUGGGCCAAAGCCGACCUUCUGGAACCUGCAACCUCCACCGCAACUGCAAAAGACCUCCUGGCUUCUGUAGUGGCGCGGGAGGCAUAUGGCGCGCUUUGGAACAUCUUCUUCGCAGCAUGCACAGUGGCACUUUGGCAUGCUAGGAAUGCACAAGUCUUCCAUAACAACCUCUGGACGGGCAGGAAGGUUCUUAACGAGAUUGCGGAACUUUUCAUGCUCUGGUGA
This 714-nucleotide ribosomal RNA is filed under the name Triticum aestivum (bread wheat). RNAcentral describes it as "partial small subunit ribosomal RNA". Lineage: Eukaryota; Viridiplantae; Streptophyta; Magnoliopsida; Poales; Poaceae. The record is from RNAcentral.